GUCUUUUUGAAUUAAAUAUAAGGUUUAACCUGCCCAUUGAAUAAUAUAUUUAAAAGGCUGCGGUAUUUUGACCGUACAAAGGUAGCAUAGUCAUUAGUUUUUUAAUUGAAAACUUGUAUGAAUGGUUGAAUGAAAAAUUAACUUUUUUAUUUAAAAUAUUGAAUUUUACUUUUUAAUUAAAAGGUUAAAAUAUUUUUAAAAGACGAGAAGACCCUAUAGAGUUUUAUAAUAUAAAUUAUUAAAUUAUUUAAAAGGGUUAAUUUUUAUUUUAUAUUUUUUAUUAUUUUGUUGGGGUGAUAAUAAAAUUUAUUUAACUUUUAUUUUUUUUUUACAUUAAUAUAUGAAUAUUUGAUCCAGUAAAUAUAUUGAUUAUAAAAUUAAAUUACCUUAGGGAUAACAGCGUAAUUUUUUUUUAAGUUCUUAUUAAUAAAAAAUUUUGCGACCUCGAUGUUGGAUUAAGAUUUAAUUUUAGGUGCAGAAGUUUAAAUUUUAAGUCUGUUCGACUUUUAAAUUCUU
Molecule: ribosomal RNA, 516 nt
Filed under: Lycoriella ingenua
Lineage: Eukaryota; Metazoa; Arthropoda; Insecta; Diptera; Sciaridae
Description: partial 16S ribosomal RNA
Source: RNAcentral